Long non-coding RNA from Ostrea edulis (European flat oyster), 1305 nucleotides. RefSeq lists it as uncharacterized. The record is from RefSeq and is a predicted model, not a curated record. The transcript is spliced from 2 exons. Lineage: Eukaryota; Metazoa; Mollusca; Bivalvia; Ostreida; Ostreidae.
GUGGAGAUUUAUCUCCCCUUAAAUCCGCGGCCGCCAAUGACAUAUUUCAUAGAUUGUAGAUAUAAAUACAUGUAUAUCUUAUGAAUUUUGGUUUAUCUGAAUUUCAGCUGAAUUGAUAGAAGAUGUUAUAUGUCUAUUAUGAAAUAUUGACUAGUCCAGAUAGUCAAUUUGCAUUUUAGUGUGCAUAAUCUACAUGUUUUGUGUGACAAUGACUAUAAUGUUAAUUUCUUAAUCUUUUAGAUAUAAAAGGGCAAGCAACACAGCUGGAUAAAGCAUCUUAAGUCUGCACCUCGUAAAGCUAUGACAAUGAGAGAAAUGUAUCCACCCAGGCAAUCAGAAUAUUGAGUGCAACACGGAAGGUGCGCUGCAGCUCAAAGAGAGCCAUGGUUAUGGGCAUCAAGUUCUCCAUCAGCUUUACCUCGCAGGCACCACUUGUGAUUUCAUAGUUUGAACACCAAUGAACAUGGAAGUGAUUUUCAUCCUUCGAGAUGAAUUAUGGGAAUUAUACUUGGCACACAUGAUCGAGCCUUUGUGCCCUCUCUGCAAUAACCAACUAGAUAGACUUGUGAAAAUUCAAAUGUCUUCCAAUAGUUUUAUUUUGUUUUUGCUACAAAUGAUCAGUAUAAAGAUGUGCAUGAAUCACCAUUGUAACAAUUUCUUCGACUAGCAGACGCUGCAGCCUUAAAUAAAUGUUCACUUUAUCAUUUACUUGAAUGCAUUUAAUACAACUUGACAAUGCAGAAUAAUGUGAGUAAGAAGUUGUACAUUUAUAGUAUCUUAAGUCCAAAGGUAAGAUUUAAUAAAUUGUGGAAUUCAUAUCAGCUAUUUCCUUCAGUGGAGGAUUUGCAAAUGUACAAGAGUCACACAGAGUUGAAAAUCUUAGUGGACAGAUCUAUAUGUCUGUAUUGUGAAGGUAUAUGAUUUAGAAUAUGGAUGUUUUUAAUUAUUAAAUUGCACACUCCACAUGAAUUUGACUCUUCCUGGUCUUGUAACAGCUGUGCUUCAUCCUUACUGAAAUGAGAUUUUGAUGAAAGAAAAGGUGAUAUGUUCAAUGUCACUCCUGAUUAAAGUUUAUCAAAUAUAUCAAAUCCUUUAUUAGCAAGAAUCAUAUAUCAUCUGGCUUCAACAUCUCCAAUACACCUCAGUGAUCAACAAUGUCACCAUCAAAGGUGGAUCCAGGAUACAAUUCAGAACAAUUGUGCUACACAAGUGAUAGCCUUUGCUGUGUGACAAAUUUUGCACAAUGUAGUUGCUGUCAGAUAAUGACUAGUUAUUCAUUUUUAAAAUUAAAUCCAGUGUUCUGUU